CCCUUAGAUGUUCUGGGCUGCACGCGUGCUACACUGAUUAUUUCAACAAGUGUUUUAACUGGAGAGUUUGCGUAAUCCUGAAAUGCUAUCGUGAUGGGAGUAGAGUAUUGUAUUUGUUAAUCUUUAACGAGGAAUUCCUAGUAAGUGUAGGUUUAUAAGUUGUUCUGAUUACGUCCCUGCCCUUUGUACACACCGCCCGUCGCUCCUACCGAUUGAUUGAUCCGGUGAAUUACAUAGAAUUUUGCGUUUUACAUGACGGAAGAUGAAGUGUUUUAAACCUUAUCAUUUAGAGGAAGGAGAAGUCGUAACA
This 310-nucleotide ribosomal RNA is filed under the name uncultured eukaryote. Its description in RNAcentral is "partial 18S ribosomal RNA". It matches the Rfam family "Eukaryotic small subunit ribosomal RNA", at positions 1470 to 1796 of the family's 1831-position model. The record is from RNAcentral.